CAGAACUUCUGCUGCCAGUGUCCUUGUCCCCUCGGUGAAACAGAGCCACCCCCCGCCUCUGCAGGAGACCUUCCAACACUAGCAGCUCCUGGCAGUGAAUGGGAUCAUGUGACAGGUUCUGGCCAACAGACUGUGAGUAGAUGUGCCAGGAGUCACUUUGAUGGUCUUCCUCACCUGGCACAUCAACAGCAAGAGGCUUUAGCUCCACGGUGGAGCCACCAGAGAGAAACAGCCUGCGUCCCUGAGCCCCUGCUGAAAAUGAGAUGCCCUGGAGGACACUCAGAGCCACAGCGGACUUUGCUUACCUUGGAGACCUCUUUCAUUGUCAAGGUUGAAACCUUGGAGAGCUCGUCCUUUUUCAAGAUUUUCAACUCCAUGCCGACCUUUCCAGCUCUGUAGACCUCCAGGCCCACAUCCCCUCUCAGCACUUGUCCCUUAUCAGGAAACAUCAAAUGACAAGAGAGGUGACUCAAGCCAAGGAUUCCAGUGUCUGGUCCUAUUAGUGGAUGAACCAUAUUAUUGGAUGUACUGUAGCUCUGUGCAACCUUCAUUGAUGUUUGGAAUGAGGACCCUGAGAUACAUACCAUGCUGCAUCAUUGAGGAAGGAUCAGACAAGACAUCCACCAGUUUUUACAGGUGUUAUUUACAGUUGGGCACAUUCUUGCAGAGCCAACCCCGGGGGAUGCUGCUCUUUGAUCUGCUGCUUCACACACUGAUUUCAGAGAUUUUUGGUAAUUCAUCUUCACUCCUGAUUGCUAUAUGUUGGCCUAGUUUAUUGCUCCUGCCUGAUUCCCAGCAAUCCAUAAAGCACCCCCUUCGGGCUUCCCUGGUGGCGCAGUGGUUGAGAAUCUGCCUGCUAAUGCAGGGGACACGGGUUCAAGCCCUGGUCUGGGAAGAUCCCACAUGCCACGGAGCAGCUGGGCCCGUGAGCCACAACUACUGAGCCUGCGCGUCUGGAGCCUGUGCCCCGCAACGGGAGGGGCCGCGAUAGUGAAAGGCCGGCGCACCGUGAUGAAGAGCGGUCCCCGCACCGCGAUGAAGA
Molecule: long non-coding RNA, 1042 nt
Organism: Balaenoptera acutorostrata (minke whale)
Lineage: Eukaryota; Metazoa; Chordata; Mammalia; Artiodactyla; Balaenopteridae
Exons: 5
Source: RefSeq, a predicted model, not a curated record